GUAACUUCUCAGCCUUUUGAUUGAGAUCAAGUGGAGUCACUGUUCUUGUUAGUUUAAUAUCAGAUGCACCCUCUAAGAAUGAUAUAUUAAGUGUAUUUUUAGAGAGGGAAAAUGGAGUAGCUUGUUAUGUCCACCCCACACAUUGGCUUGGUAUUGUAGUAGUCCAGGAACAGUGUACCCCAU
RNAcentral lists this small nuclear RNA (183 nucleotides) under Neotoma lepida (desert woodrat). RNAcentral describes it as "U2 spliceosomal RNA". It matches the Rfam family "U2 spliceosomal RNA". Rfam says of the family: U2 is a small nuclear RNA (snRNA) component of the spliceosome (involved in pre-mRNA splicing). Lineage: Eukaryota; Metazoa; Chordata; Mammalia; Rodentia; Cricetidae. The record is from Rfam by way of RNAcentral.